Molecule: ribosomal RNA, 444 nt
Filed under: uncultured bacterium
Lineage: Bacteria
Description: partial 16S ribosomal RNA
Rfam family: Bacterial small subunit ribosomal RNA
Source: RNAcentral
CCUACGGGAGGCAGCAGUGAGGAAUAUUGGGCAAUGGAGGAAACUCUGACCCAGCAAUGCCGCGUGAAUGAAGAAGGUCCUCGGUAUGUAAAGUUCUUUAGUCAGGGAAGAAGUCAAUGACGCUACCUGAAGAAUAAGCUUCGGCUAAAUACGUGCAAGCAGCCGCGGUAAUACGUAGGGAGCAAGCGUUGUUCGGAUGGACUGGGCGUAAAGGGUGCGUAGGCGGUUGUACAAGUGAGAAGUGGAAUACCCAGGGCUUAACUCGGGUGCUGCUGCUAAAACUGGAUGACUUGAGUGCAGUAGAGGUUAGUGGAAUGCCUGGUGUAGCGGUGGAAUGCGUAGAUAUUAGGAGGAACACCGGUGGCGAAGGCAGCUAACUGGACUGCAACUGACGCUGAGGCACGAAAGUGUGGGGAGCGAACAGGAUUAGAUACCCGUGUAGUC